Molecule: long non-coding RNA, 406 nt
Filed under: Salvia miltiorrhiza (redroot sage)
Lineage: Eukaryota; Viridiplantae; Streptophyta; Magnoliopsida; Lamiales; Lamiaceae
Description: long non-coding RNA (SMIL_LNC005117)
Source: RNAcentral
GCAGUAUGAAAUCUAUAAACUCACUCGUAGGUUAUAAUCGAGAUCAUCCUUAAAUUCAGACAAUAAACUCAGGUAGUAUGAAACUAACUGCAAUUAAAAGACAAGCAUCCAUCAAAACAUGAGUGGAAUAAGAAGUUGGAGACGCAGAAGCAGAAGCAAACCUCGUAUGAUUCCUUUCAAAAUGAGCUUGAUUAGAGAGAGAAAAAUGGAUAUGGAUGUGGAUCCGAAUGAAUCUAAUGUGGUUGAUCUCUAUAAGUUACCGAAAUUCCUCAUCUUUUAUGUCUGAGAGAGAGAGAGAGAGGUGAGUUGGAUUGGCUUUUUUCAGUUAUUAUUUUACUGCUGUCGGUUUAUUACCUUCUCCCUUUCACGUGCAAAACUUUGCACCACGUAGAAUUUUUCAAUAUAA